RNAcentral lists this ribosomal RNA (475 nucleotides) under uncultured bacterium. Its description in RNAcentral is "SSU rRNA". It matches the Rfam family "Bacterial small subunit ribosomal RNA", at positions 26 to 518 of the family's 1533-position model. The record is from RNAcentral.
AGGACGAACGCUGGCGGCGUGCUUAACACAUGCAAGUCGAGCGGAAAGGCCCUUCGGGGUACUCGAGCGGCGAACGGGUGAGUAACACGUGAGUAAUCUGCCCCUAUGCUCUGGGAUAGCUCCGGGAAACCGGGAUUAAUACCAGAUACGACCACUUUAGACAUCUGUUGUGGUGGAAAGAAUUUUGGCUAGGGAUGAGCUCGCGGCCUAUCAGCUUGUUGGUGAGGUAACGGCUCACCAAGGCGACGACGGGUAGCCGGCCUGAGAGGGCGACCGGCCACACUGGGACUGAGACACGGCCCAGACUCCUACGGGAGGCAGCAGUGGGGAAUAUUGCGCAAUGGGCGAAAGCCUGACGCAGCGACGCCGCGUGGGGGAUGAAGGCCUUCGGGUUGUAAACCCCUUUCAGCAGGGACGAAGCGAAAGUGACGGUACCUGCAGAAGAAGCGCCGGCUAACUACGCGCCAGCAGCCGC